AGAGUUUGAUCAUGGCUCAGAUUGAACGCUGGCGGCAGGCCUAACACAUGCAAGUCGAACGGUAACAGGAAGAAGCUUGCUUCUUUGCUGACGAGUGGCGGACGGGUGAGUAAUGUCUGGGAAACUGCCUGAUGGAGGGGGAUAACUACUGGAAACGGUAGCUAAUACCGCAUAACGUCGCAAGACCAAAGAGGGGGACCUUCGGGCCUCUUGCCAUCGGAUGUGCCCAGAUGGGAUUAGCUAGUAGGUGGGGUAACGGCUCACCUAGGCGACGAUCCCUAGCUGGUCUGAGAGGAUGACCAGCCACACUGGAACUGAGACACGGUCCAGACUCCUACGGGAGGCAGCAGUGGGGAAUAUUGCACAAUGGGCGCAAGCCUGAUGCAGCCAUGCCGCGUGUAUGAAGAAGGCCUUCGGGUUGUAAAGUACUUUCAGCGGGGAGGAAGGGAGUAAAGUUAAUACCUUUGCUCAUUGACGUUACCCGCAGAAGAAGCACCGGCUAACUCCGUGCCAGCAGCCGCGGUAAUACGGAGGGUGCAAGCGUCAAUCGGAAUUACUGGGCGUAAAGCGCACGCAGGCGGUUUGUUAAGUCAGAUGUGAAAUCCCCGGGCUCAACCUGGGAACUGCAUCUGAUACUGGCAAGCUUGAGUCUCGUAGAGGGGGGUAGAAUUCCAGGUGUAGCGGUGAAAUGCGUAGAGAUCUGGAGGAAUACCGGUGGCGAAGGCGGCCCCCUGGACGAAGACUGACGCUCAGGUGCGAAAGCGUGGGGAGCGAACAGGAUUAGAUACCCUGGUAGUCCACGCCGUAAACGAUGUCGACUUGGAGGUUGUGCCCUUGAGGCGUGGCUUCCGGAGCUAACGCGUUAAGUCGACCGCCUGGGGAGUACGGCCGCAAGGUUAAAACUCAAAUGAAUUGACGGGGGCCCGCACAAGCGGUGGAGCAUGUGGUUUAAUUCGAUGCAACGCGAAGAACCUUACCUGGUCUUGACAUCCACGGAAGUUUUCAGAGAUGAGAAUGUGCCUUCGGGAACCGUGAGACAGGUGCUGCAUGGCUGUCGUCAGCUCGUGUUGUGAAAUGUUGGGUUAAGUCCCGCAACGAGCGCAACCCUUAUCCUUUGUUGCCAGCGGUCCGGCCGGGAACUCAAAGGAGACUGCCAGUGAUAAACUGGAGGAAGGUGGGGAUGACGUCAAGUCAUCAUGGCCCUUACGGCCAGGGCUACACACGUGCUACAAUGGCGCAUACAAAGAGAAGCGACCUCGCGAGAGCAAGCGGACCUCAUAAAGUGCGUCGUAGUCCGGAUUGGAGUCUGCAACACGACUCCAUGAAGUCGGAAUCGCUAGUAAUCGUGGAUCAGAAUGCCACGGUGAAUACGUUCCCGGGCCUUGUACACACCGCCCGUCACACCAUGGGAGUGGGUUGCAAAAGAAGUAGGUAGCUUAACCUUCGGGAGGGCGCUUACCACUUUGUGAUUCAUGACUGGGGUGAAGUCGUAACAAGGUA
Molecule: ribosomal RNA, 1500 nt
Filed under: metagenome
Description: bacterial SSU rRNA
Rfam family: Bacterial small subunit ribosomal RNA
Source: RNAcentral